Molecule: long non-coding RNA, 232 nt
Filed under: Ananas comosus (pineapple)
Lineage: Eukaryota; Viridiplantae; Streptophyta; Magnoliopsida; Poales; Bromeliaceae
Description: long non-coding RNA (ACOM_LNC010763)
Source: RNAcentral
GUUACGUGUCCAACAUCUAAUUCUAGUCUCUAGCGCAAGUGAAAAAGAACUUGAUAGUUGGUAUUCGAGAUCCUAAAUUCGAAUUUUAAUUGAUUCACAUUUUCAGCUAAAUUUAUUUUUAAAAUAAAGUAAACGAAGCGGCUAGCCUGCUAACCUAUCUCUCUCAGAAAAAAAAACACAUAAUUCUAUCAGAUUUCAAAAUGUAAAGAAAUUUAUUCUUUCAUCAGAGUUU